Clupea harengus (Atlantic herring) is the source of this 17939-nucleotide long non-coding RNA. The record is from Ensembl. NCBI's taxonomy places the organism in Eukaryota, Metazoa, Chordata, Actinopteri, Clupeiformes, Clupeidae.
CAGAGGUCUACAUGCAUCUGGUGAAUAUGAUGAAUCUGGAGACCACGUUCUGUCUUCAUUGAACAACUCAUUCAGACACAACUCAGAAUACUCAAUGUCUAGGAUUGGUGAUGUAGGAGAGGAUGAUCUACUUCCUGUGUAGAUUGACGUCUCAAAUUUAGCAUGACCAAAGUCAGGAAUAGGUGAAUCAGGAGACAGAGGUCUACAUGUAUCUGGUGAAUAUGAUGAAUCUGGAGACCACAAUCUGUCUUCAUUGAACAACUCAUUCAGACACAACUCAGAAUAUUCAAUGUCUAGGAUUGAUGAUGUGGGAGAGGAUGAUCUACUUCGUGUGUAGAUUGACGUCUCAAAUUUAGCAUGACCAAAGUCAGGAAUAGGUGAAUCAGGAGACAGAAGUCUACCUUCAUCACAUAAACACAAUGGUUCAGGUGAAUCUAUUCUCCCUUCUUGGAACAAUUCCUCAAGAUAAAGGUCAGAGUAUUCAAUAUCUGAUGCUAAAGAUACGGGAGAUGAUGAUCUGCUAGUUGAACAUAUCAGCUGGUCACAUGUAGAAUGAAUAUAUUCAGGAAUAGGGGAUUCAGGAGACAUGGGCCUUCUCUCUGUGAAAAAAUCUAAAUACAGCUCUUCCUCUGUGUUUUCUGAUGUUAGAGAUGCCGGUGAUGUGCUCCUGAGAUGUGCGGAGUGAGUUAUACUAACCGCCAAAGGACAUUUGUACUGAGGGACAGGUGAGUCGGGUGAGAGGGCCCUGAACUCAUUCAAUUCAGCCAAAGAUUCAGGUGAAGGUGGCCUAAACAAUUGACACCACUCCAGAAAUUCCUCAGCAUAAUCUUCAGAUGCACUUAAGGAGUCUGGAGAAAGAGAUCGAUUUUCAGAUUCAUAGUCUGGAGGCUGUGACUGAGGUGAAUCUGGUCUGGUCUCGCUGAAUAGUUCCUCAAUACCAAGUUCAGAGUAUUCAAUCUCUGAUGAUACAGAUUCAGGAGGGGAAGAUGGGUAUUCAUUAAAUGAUAACAUAUAAGUGUCCAGAAAGUUUUCGUACUGUGGAACUGGAGAAUCCACAGAGAGCGGUCUGCUCUCAUCAACUGAUGUAAAGGAUUCUGGGGAUGAUGGUCGGAUAUCUACAAAUAAAUCUUCUACAGAUAAGAGGGCUCCAUCACUAUCUGAAAUUACCGAUUGACAUGAUGGUGAUCUGUAGACAGAAGAUGAUUUAGAAAGUAAGGACUCAGAAUCAGAUGUAAAAGCAUAUUGCUUUCCUAGUUGUCCAGACUCCGAGGACUGCAAUGGCAAAGUGGAGAUAAGUUCAUCAUGACGACAAAUCAUUAUUUCGGACUUUAAGCUUGACAACUGUACUGACAGCACUUCUGGUAUCAUUUUACUUGUAAAGUCACUAGAAGUUUCAGCAACAACAAUAGUAGCCUGAACUUCCUCACUCAUUUGGAUUUGAUCACUACACUCAUCUGUCUCAUCUCUUUCUGUUGUUCUUUCUGUGUCAAGUAUUCGUUCAAAAAUUCCCGCCUUAGUACAGAGAUGUUCUCCUUUAAAAGGUGGGUCAUACAUAUGGGACAUCAGCUUGCAUGGUACGGUUUCGUAUACCAAUCUAAACUUUUUGGGAAAUGAAAUGUCAGCAGAGACUGCCCCAACACUUUCCAAGGCCAUGAUUUUUACUGGUGGCCCCAUUUGACUCUCAAGAGAUUUUGAUCCCGGCCCCCUCUUUAAGGAAGUAUCAUAUGGCUCUCUUGAGUUUGGAAAGUUUUUACGAAUCACAAAGCCUGCAGCAUCUGGAGAUAUAGGAUGACGGCUACUUUCAUCUAUGAUUGAAUCAGGAGAUUGUGGCCUACCCUCAUCAUAAUCCCAAGAAAAGCAGGACUCAUUAUCGGAUAAUGUUGGUACGGGUGAUGGGCCCAGAUCACUUUUAACUGCUCCUGUCAACAUGUUCUGAGGCAAAUAGUUAGCAUAUUGAGGAAUAGGAGAGUCGGGAGAGAGAGGUCUAAACUCCAAUGACGUAUGAGAACCUGGUGAGGAUGGUCUCAGCUCUUUCAACCAAUGCUCCAGGAAAGACAGCUUGUAGUCAGACUCUGAGGAUAGAGAAUCAGGUGACAGCGGUCGUAGUGCCAUCACACAUUCACCAACCACAUUUUUGAAUGCCUCAUCUGAUCCUGAUAGAGGGGACUCUGGUCUCACCUCAUAUGGCACUUGUUCAUAGUUCCAGUUGGUAUCAAAGUACUCUAUGUCUGAUGUUGCUGAGUGAGGAGAUGCAGAUCUGUUCCACUGAAUGGCAGGCACUGUAGACAUAUUAAACUGAGGUACAGGGGAGUCAGGAGUAAGGGCUCUAGUGAAGGAAUUAGACUCAGAUGAAGGCCUGUCCUCAAGGAAGAAGUCUUCCAGAUAAUACUCUUCGCUCUCACUGUCUGAUAUUGCAGAAAUGGGAGAUAAGCUUUGGAUACCAGUGGAGUGCAUUGAGAUAGUCAAUGGAAUUUCAUACUGUGGAACUGGAGAGUCAGGGGAGAGCAGCCUGUAUUCAUCGAGUGAUGAAAUAGAUUCAGGAGAGAAGGCUCUCACUUCUUCAAGCCACUUUGAGAAAAAUAAGCAGUAGUCUGUUUCAGAUAUCAGUGACUCCGGUGUCAAUGGUCUAUAUUUAGUCAAAUAUUUACUGGUGGUUUCAUCAUCUAAAAUGACUGAUUCUGGUGAAUCGGGUCUGUCCUCGUCAAACAACUCUGCCAGACAGAGGUCAGAGUACUCAACAUCUGACGCUAGAGAUACGGGAGAUGAUGACUGUUUACCUGUGAAGUUUAACUGUUCAAAUGUCUGGCAGCCAUAUUCAGGAAUAGGGGAAUCAGGAGACAGGGGUGUAUAUUCAUCUAAUGAUGUAAAGGCUUCUGGUGAGGACGUUCUUUCUUCCUCUAACCAUUCAAGGAAAGAUAAGGAAUAGUCAUUUUCAGAUGUGAGGGAGUCUGGUGAUAUUGGUCUAUGCUCACUCAGGCCUCUCACAGUCCCGUUGGUGUUUAUUUCUGAUUCCGGUGACUCUGGUCUGUCUUCACUGAACAACUCUUCAAAACACAUUUCAGAGUAUUCAUUAUCAGAUACUAGAGAUAUGGGAGAUGAUGUUCUAUUACUUCCAUAGACAAACUGCUCAAAUAUUGGGCAAACAAACGCAGGAAUAGGUGAAUCAGGAGACAGAGGUCUACAUUUAUCUGGUGAAUAUGAUGAAUCUGGAGACCACGAUCUGUCUUCAUUGAACAACUCAUUCAGACAAAACUCAGAAUACUCAAUGUCUAGGAUUGGUGAUGUGGGAGAGGAUGAUCUACUUCCUGUGUAGAUUGACAUCUCAAAUGUAUCAUGACCAUAGUCAGGAAUAGGUGAAUCAGGAGACAGAAGUCUACCUUCAUCACAUAAACACAAUGGUUCCGGUGAACAUGAUCUGAGUUCCUCAAUCCAUCUCUCUAGUUCAUACACUGAAUAGUCAUCACAAGAAGACAACGAUUCUGGUGAUAGAGGUCUGUUUGCAAGCUCUUUGGAGAAUUCUUUUUGCCUACUGUCAAUGGGAGAAUAUAUGUCUUGAGUAUCUGAAUCAGGAGAGAGAAAUCGGUCCUUGUCUCCACACAAGUCAUGUGAAAGAGUGCUGUGGAUUUUGGAAUAAAUCUGCCCUGAUUCAUUAUUUUCACAUUGUGAUGCUGCUGACUGGGGUGGUAGGACCAUUUCUUCACUGAAAUAUUUUUCUAUUUCUCUACCUGCUUCGUUACAUAAUGCACUUUUCGAGUUUGAGCAUUGUGUUGAGUGUACUGUGGUAACUGGGGUAGCUUGUACUGACCAGUCUGAUUCAUUACCUAUAUCCAGCUGUAUGAUUUUAGUUUCAUAAUGCUUUGUGUCCUCCGAUGUCAAUGGUCUAUAUUCAGUCACAUCUUUACUGGUGGUUUCAUCAUCUAAAAUGACUGAUUCUGGUGAAUCUGGUCUGUCCUUGACAAACAACUCUGACAGACAGAGGUCAGAGUACUCAACAUCUGACGCUAGAGAUACGGGAGAUGAUGAUCGUUUACCUGUGAAGUUUAACUGUUCAAAUGUAUAGCAGCCAUAUUCAGGAAUAGGUGAAUCAGGAGACAGAAGUCUACCUUCAUCACAUAAACACAAUGGUUCCGGUGAAUCUAUUCUCCCUUCUUGAAACAAUUCCUCAAGAUAAAGGUCAGAGUAUUCAAUAUCUGAUGCUAAAGAUACGGGAGAUGAUGAUCUGUUGCUUCCAUAGACUAACUGCUCAUAUUGAUUACAGCCGUACAGAGGAACAGGUGAAUCAGGAGACAGAGGUCUACAGGUAUCAUAUGAAUAUGAAGAUUCUGGUGAAUUUGGUCUGUCCUCAUUGAACAGCUCAUCAAGACAAAAUUCAGCGUAUUCAAUGUCUGAUGCUAGAGACGAAGGAGAUAAAGAUCCAUCACUCAUGUAGAUGAACUGUUUAGAAGUAGGAUGGCCAUACUCAGGAACAGGGGAAUCAGGUGACAGUGGUCUAUGUCCAUCAAGUGACAUUGUUCCUGGUGAAGGCAGCCUUGUCUCAUUGGGCCACUCUUCAGAAUAGACAUCAUACUCAAUGUCACUUUCAGAGGCUAAAGAAUUAACAGAGGAAGAUGCUGCUCCAACCACAGAAAUGAAUACUUCAGGUUGGGGACAUUUGAACUGAGGAAUUGGUGAGUCAGGACAUAAUACUUCAUCCUCUGAUGACAAAGAGUCUGCAUAUUCUGGUGAGUUCAAUGUGUACUCAGAGUACAACUCUCCCAUGUCUGAAUCUGAGGAUCCAUUUUCAGAAUAUACAUAUCCAGGAGAGCAUGGUCUAAAGCCAUUAAUUGAAUUGAUACACUCAGGGACUCUGUAGUCAGGCACUGGGGAGUCAGGAGACAUGGACCUAAACUCAUUCUGAGAUGCAAUAGAUUCUGGAGAAGAUGGUCUACUGGCUUCUGGUGUAAAACUUAAGUCUUUGUUUCCUCUAACUUCUGAGGCCAGUGCUAAUGGUAAGUUUCCACUUCUGGCCACCAUGACUUCAGGCACAUUUCUAUACUUUGCAAUGCAAGGCAUCAGCUGUGGCUCAAUGCUAGGCUCUGGCUUCAUCUCACCUAACCGGGGUACAUAGUCUUUCAUACAUGUAUUGAGUAAACAAGGCCUUCUUUCAUUGAAAUGCCCUUCUAACCCUGGACCCAGGGGGCUGCCACCUAAAGAAACACCCAAGGACAAUUCCUGUCCUGAGAGGGGUGUUUCAGGAGGCACUCUUAAGUCUAGUUUGGAUAUCACAGCCUCUGCAAGCAUUCUCUCUUCCAAUGGGACAAGACCAUGCUCUACAGGUUGUGAGAAUGGCUGGGGACCUGAGAACUUUACUUUUUCAGAGGGAGAUGCAGGGAGUGCAGAUGCCUUAUUACAUGACCUGGAAGUCCUUGGCAUAAAUACAUUUGAUAUGUAUGAUUUUCCUUGGCUGAUAAAAGAUGUCUUUGCUCGCACCACUGGAUUAUCCUUAUCAGUUUGCCCACUUGAUGAACUGGCAGAGUCAUUUACCAGCUGAUCAUAUUUGGUGUCAUGAUGGGGGUGUAAUGUGUCUGUUUGGGUGUCCCAUGGUUUUGAGGCUCCCUGUAAUGAUUCAGGACCUUGGAAAGGGAGUCUUUCUUGUGUUAAAAUGCUCUUCUUAGACUUGAUUGGGGCUGAGUUAUUGAGAAAAGCCUGAUGCAGACUUGUGGUUUCAUAAAGUUCAUCAAUAAAGGGUAUGAGGGGUUCUUCCCUGGGACAAGUUUGGGCCUUCAAAGCCUUGCUUGCCCCACCAAGUUUGGAGUUUGUACAGUGUUUAUCUGGGUCGUCAUCCUCUACAAUGGCCAAAGAAACUGUGUGAUUCUCAGUUGAUCUUGUGUGACCAUGCUCACAAACUACACUGCUUAAGUUCAUGUCAACGAGGUCCUCUCUGAGUUCAGUUAAUAGCUCACUGAAAUCUGUCUCAGCUUGGUCUGACUCUGAGAGACAAUGGCCAAAGUCUUGAAUAGAUAUAGGUGCCAGUGGAUUAACAGGUCUGGGAAAUGAUGACCUUGGAUCGCCUUGGAUAAGUUCCUCAUCGCCCAUUGUAUUUUGGGGAUGUUUUCUCAACCCAGACUGAAAUCCAUGUUCAGUGGAGUCCCAUGGUACAGGUGCAGCAGCACCAACUGUGGACUCAGUCAUAGGAUUUGUGUUUUGCGGUGGGGAGACCCUUCUGUAUUGUGGAUCAUACACUUGCGACAUCAGCUUCGAAGGCUCAGCAGUAUUGUCAAAAUGUAGAUGACUUACUUGUCUGUCAAGGCCCUCAUUUGAUGACCCAGCCCUCAUCUCUCGAGCAGCCCAUGGGUUGGUGAUAAAGUCCCUAAGGAAAAUGGAAAAUGAGGUGUAUGUUAGUGCUGAUUUACUUCAAUAAAAUGGCCACAAAGAUCAAAUCAAAUAAUUUCUUUACUAUUUUUCGGUAUUUCGACCUACUGUGUAAUGUCAAGUUCUUCUAGGAGGUCUCCAUGCAUGCUUUCAGAAUGGGUGUGCCCCGCAGGCUCUGACCAGGACGGGAUGUCCAGGAGAGAGGCCACGGACAGGUCUUCCUCAGAAACCGCUGGAGGUUGCCGUUGUGAGGAUUCCACCCUUCUUACCAGUCGCGGACUUUCUACAUCUUCCUGAACUGAGGAGAGAGCUGGACACAGAAACAUACAGAAAAGUGUGUAUGGAUGCAUACACACACACACACACACACACACACACACUCAGUGGAAACUGAAUAGCUAGAAGAUUAAACUUCCUCAUGCAGUACAACAAGAUAUGUGCAUUUGAUGUUGUCAUUAAGCCACUGCUUAGUAACCACUGCGGGGUAGUAUUUGAAGCCAAAGAUGUGGCCUCAAAACAUAGCACAUAAAUGCAAUACCGUGUUGAAUGUUUUUAUUAUGUGUUUAUAGCAUUAGCUGACCAAUACAUUCUACCUUCACUGUGAUCAAGAGUCCUCUCAAUUUCUGCAUACGUCCGUGAGGUCUGCUCCUGGACUGACUUGUUCAUCUGUGUCUCAAGGAGGUGGACUAUGUCCAUGCGAUUUAUUGCAGUGAGCCUCUUGAUCAAGCAAUCCUCUGCGAGGAUAAAUGACAUAAAAUGAGUUAUGCCUAUCCACACAUUAAUACAUUUUUUAAUUCAAAACAGAUUAAGAAUAGGGUUUGGGUAGUAUGUACAAAUGUAGAAAAGGGUGAUGAGCUCAUAUUCACCAGUGGCAUGCUUCGCCUCACGCUCCACCCAGCGCUGCAGCAGUGCCUGACUUUGCUCCUGCAAGGAGUUUGGGUUCUCUGACCGCACCAGCUGUAUUUCAUCCUCAUUGAACUCCAGUUCUUUUGCCAGCUCUGGAGAAUUUUACAUUUAUUGAAUCUUAUGUUUUAGAAUCCCUCUUUGCGAGCAAGCUCUGAUCCAGUAAGAUUCAUUUAAAAACAGAGUAUAUAUAAUAUCAGGGAGAUUGGUGGUCAUCACAUCCACAUUCAUUAGCAUAUGAGACUUACCAGUCCAACUAAACCCAAGGAGGUCAGAAACUAUUGCCAAUGUUUCUUCCUUUCUGUCUGCAUCUUCCUGCCAGUCCACUGGAAGUUCACACAAAUCAUUAAGAGUAAGAUACCAGUACAAGAGUAAAAGACCAGAGGCCACAUAUGCUGCUAGAACUCAAUUUAUUAUAUUAAUUGAAAGUGGAAAUAUCUGCCUAAAAACCUGUAAGUGCUGCUUCUUUGUCAUGGUCAGUUCUAUCUUUAUUAAGAAUGGCAUAAACUAGCUGAUCUGUGAUGACUGAAAAAACUUGACCAAGGAAUCUAGAGUAGCACACUCAUGUUUAGUACCUCGAGAUUAUUAAGUGCUUUUCACAAUGUUAACAUAUACAUAUGCAUAUGCCUUAAGACCCACUGAUCAGAGCAGACGCAGUAGGUAGGGUCAAUCAGAAACCCAGUAUUGUUUAUAUGGAGUAUGUGAUAAUAUGAUGGUACAUUCCCCAUAUGGAGGUUGCCUCUGAAAUGGAUCUGGCCCUGAUUGGUUCCAUACUUAGCUGUCUGAGUAGAACUAUAAUCUACUUAUGUGAUCUGAUUGAAAAAAAUAGACCUUUCUAAUUCACUUCAGCUGCUAUCUGAGUAGAACUAUAAUCAAUCUACUUAUGGGUUCUGAUUAAAACGACUUUGUUAACAUGACUUCUAAUUCACAUCAAUUAUGUUUCAAAAUCUACUUAUGUGUUCUGAUUAAAAUGACUGCGUUAACAUGACUUUUCUAAUUCACUCCAGUUAUGUUUCGAAAUCCUGGAUUUAUGCAACAGUGAAAUAUGGUAAACUAAAAUAAAAGUUUAGAGAUGUGGAUAUACAUAAGGACCCACUAAUCUUGAGACCUUAAACAUGGAAGUGGUGCACUCAUCAUUUAUAAUUUGAUCAUUUUUAUGUCAUUUCUUUUUCCACUGUCCAUGCAUGGAACUCACACCUGUAAAAGGAGUGUAAAGUACCAUGCUGAAACUAGCAACAGCAUGUUAUAAAAACUAUGUUAGAUUUUCAUGUUUGGGUUAGAAAGACCUUCCAUGCAAAUGACUAUGGAAUUCAGUAAUGCUUAUAAAAAUGGGUUAUCACAUGUUGAAUUUGACGUAUACAGUGCCACAUGCAGAGUAGUUUUAUUCUAUUAUCAGAGCAUUUCUGACAUUAAACUAAAAAGGGAGAGAGUCAAUCUUGAGAUUGGAAAUGUACACAAAGAUGGCUGGAUGGAAAGGCAGCAGAAAAAAAGUGAGCUGAUAACUGAACACACAGAAACACAGAGGACAACACAAGACAACAACACACAGCACAAAACAACACACAACACAGUGACAAAACAGAACAACAAAGAGGUGACGAUGGACACUUAGGCAGGAAAAAGAGGUCUUUUGGUUGAGGGAAGUAGAGGAAAAAGAGAGGGGGACAGACCCAUUGAGAUGAUACCUUGACAUUGUUCUGAGGUAGCGCUGUCAGAGAUGCGCUGCAUCUGAGUCUCCACACAACUGUCCCAGUGGGGCCUUGACUCAAAGACAUCAUCUGUAAUGGAGGAAGGCCGUACCCCUGGAACAGCUCUACUCUCUGCAUCUGGAGCACAAGAGGCUCUCUCAUUCUGUUUGGGGUCUCCAGAGCCAGGCAACUCUGAGUUGCAAGAGGUCUUACUGAUGUGACGAGAUGUAAUGGUUUGUUCAUGUGAGAUACUGUGCUGGAUUUUUUCAGUGUAAGAAGAAUGUGAAUGUCUGUGUUUACUUAUGACUGGGAGUCUUGAGCUAGAGAUCUUUGGUUUGGUCAAGGACUGACUCCUCUCUGAAAGACUACGGGUGUGUGUAGUAGAUAAGAGAUGCCCUGUGUGUUCAUCACCAGCAUCAGACUUUGAACGAUGCUCCUGUAGAGGAGUCUCUGAUUUUUUUGCAGAGCUUAUGUCUGAUUUCACUGAACCUGCUUUCACUGGAAUCUUUGACUUGGAUUUAAUUUCUACUGAAAACACAGAGAUGUCAUCUUGAGGGGGAUCUGAGAUUUCAGAUGCAGUGGAUUCAGUGAGACUGGUGUGGCCCAGCACGUCGUAGGUUAGGGAGGGAAUUUCAAUAACGGAUUGCGGCUCAUCCUCAUUAGAGGAGUCAGAGGAUUCGGAAUCCUGAUCUGAGUACACAGACCGCGUGACAGUAGAGCUGGCUGUGUCCACAUCCAUUAUAGUGGACACUGAGGUGUCAGGAGGUUCAAGGAAAUCUCUCUCUUGGUGUGAAUAGUUGGGGCUACCAGGAUGAACGUCAAGUGAGUCAGACGGAGUGACAUUUGAGAAGUUGGAGGUCUGCGGUGUAGAAUCAAACUCUUCCUUUGUUUGAUCCUCUGUUACUGAGUCUCUGUUGUCCAUUUUAGAGUCUUCGCUUACAUCCAUAUCACUUUUUUCUGUGUCCUCCUCCACAGCAUCAUCAUUUAAUGGGAAAAAAGCUCGCUCUUCAAUCUCCUCUUCCAAGCUCCUCCUGGUCAUAUCAAUAGCACCACCUCUGGUCAUCUCAAAGAGCUUCCCCUCCUGGAAGAGGAAUGGAUUUGGAGUUCCCUCUUCUGUGGGCGUUCGGCCUGGUGUGGAAUCUGGUGUUUGCCGCUGGGGCAGCUCUUCCAAGGGAAGACCAAAAACCCUGCUUUCUUCAGCUUCCACUCGUGCCUUAAAACUUUCAUCAUCUUCUAAAUCAGCACUCCAUGGGACCAGAUCUCCUUUAAUAUCCUCAGGGAUGCCCGUUGACAGUGUGUCAUGAUUGGCAGCCUGUGAAACCUGAUAACUUACAUCUCCCUCCUGAAUGCAUAUUUUCGUGUUAAGAUCUUCCUGAAGAUUCUGUGUCACAGCUUGCGGACAGAGAGGGAGGUCAGCAGAGUGAUCGUCUUGUUUUACAGAUGAUAUCAAAUGAGCUCCACUGCUAUCAUCUAAGACAACAGAUACGGUAUUAUUGUCAGUGGCUGAGUAGCUGGACAUUCCUUGUUUUCCUGCCUCUUCAGUAGAGGUAAGGCACUUCAACAGAUCUGAACAAUCCUCCUCACUCUCAUCCACAAAUGUUUGCAUAGAUAUAAUAUCCUUUGUAUAGUCCUCUCUGUGUUCAAAGGCAUCUUUUUCCUGGUUUGUGGUCCCAGGUGAAUCAUCCUUUAAGACUCCUUGGAGUAGUUUAACCUCUUGAAGGCUAUGGCUUUCAGGUUUGGGAGAUGAUGACAGCAAUGGGUUUGGGUCAGCUGUGAUAUCAGAAUGGUCUUCCCAUGCCAUCCAAUCAUCUUGGGCUUGUGAUGGACUCUUGUGAUCCUCUGACUCCUCUAGAGCAAACCUGACCUCCUUCUUACUUUUAACGUCCUUCUCCAUUUCGUCAAAUGUUUUGAUUUUUGCUGCCAUUUUAAACAUUUCCUCUUCUGGAGUAAGCUGCUUCUGAUCUGUUUCUGAGUUCUGUUGGUCCAUAUCUUUGUCCGCAUUGUCUGAGGAGGAAGCAGAUAGAUUUGUGGACAUUGGAAGGCACUGUUGGUGAGAUGGAAUGCCAAACUCAAAAUCGCAAUCUUCAGAGGAAUAGGCUCUUUCAAAAUCAACUUCUCUUUGAAAGUCAACUUCAAUCCCUGAUCCAGGACUGAGUGGACUGUCGGGAGACUGAGCAGCUUGCUUUGGUUCUGAGAAAAAAUCUGCCCUCUCUCCUAUCGGGCUUCCCUCCAGGGAGUCUGGACAGGGAGAGUCUUUGGUUGGACUUGGCUCAAGCGAGUCAGGAGAUUUAUGUGAAGAGCCAUCCUCUAUGACAGGACUGACCUCCAGGGAGUCCCUACGACAUACACUGGCAUUAUCAUCCAUGACAACAGACCACAGAGCGUCUAUGUUUGAAGGUCUGGAUGGGGUAUCUAUUCCCUCUGUUCCAGAGCUUACAGUUAUCUGUCUGUCUUGUAUGGAUACCUCGGACUCUGCUGAGAAAGAGGAGCCAAAUGAGUCUCCAGUCAUAAAAUCUGAAGUUUUGGUAGGGCUUCUGGAAUUACUUUGUACAGCAUUAUCAUUCUCCUCCUGGGUGUUGGGGAUUACUUGGGGAAGUUCAGAAUAUCCCUCAUGUCUUUCUCCUUUAUCUAUACUUGUAUAAGGUGUAUCUCUUGAUGAACUGGAGCCAACUUCAUCUCCAUCAAGCUCAGGACCAGCAUCGAGAUCCUUGCACUGAAACUCUUUUGAAAUGAUAAUGGCUCUCUCCUCAUCCAAUUUAGAGGAUAAAUCUGUGUCAAAUUCUACCUCAAUACUACUCUCUCUUUGGUAUUCAAUCUGUGAAUUAUUAAUCCCUGAGCAAAAUAUAAAGUUGUUGUCCACUGUGGUAGACGUCUGCCUGAAAAUUUGGUACUCAGGAUUGGCUUCUAAUUCUGCUUUGAUGUCAGCACUGAAGUCCUCAGAGGUUCUCCUGUCUGGGCUAAUCUGAAACUCCUCUGAUGACAUUGGGUCUCGGCUCAGCCCUGGAGAUAGAAUAUUGAACUGUCCAGAACUAGUUACCCUUUCCUCACCAUUAAUUACCCCUGACUCAGUCUCUGGCUUCUCUCUUUGAAAUGUUUCUGACAUCUCUGAUUGAUUGUCAUUAUCACUGAUGGUUUUCGUUAGAACAACCUCCUCAAAACUUUCCUUAACAAUCUCCUGACUUAACGAACGAUCAGAUACAGCAGGUAUCUCCUCUAGGUACUGCUCUAGGUCUCCACUUAAAUGUGAGACCAUGCCAGAUAUGUCCUUCACCGAAGCUCUUGACGUGGAGAAUUUUUUGUCAAUUUUAACUUCUUGGAAGGCAGCUUCUUGUGACUGCUCUAGAACUGGAUCCUUAUUUGGUGAAUCUUCUAAACUGCUCCAAGGCUUUUCGAAGUCUUCUGAUUGUGUAUAAUCUGUACUUCUAACUCUACUUAACACAACCUCUUCCAACUUUUCCUCGAAAAUCCCCUGAUUUGCAGACUGAUCAUUCACAACUGGUAUUUUCUCUAAGUACUGGUCCAGGUCUCCAGUAAGAUGUGAGAGCAUGCUAGACAUGUCUUUCACUGGUGCUGAUUGUUUAUCAUCUACAAUGGUGACCUUUCUUAACAUAACCUCUUCAAAUGUCUCCUCUAUAAUGCCUUGACUUGCACAAUGAUCAGAGACAGCUGGUAUUUUCUCUAAGUAAAGGUCAAGAUUGCCAGUAAGAUGCGAGACCAUCCCAGACAAGUCUUUCACUGGUGCUGAUGAUGUGGGGGAUGUCUCUUUAGCUAUUUGAAACUCUUGGAGCAGAGGUUCCUGUAUCUGAUCUGAUGUAUUAGCCAAACUCUCAUUCUGAAAUGUGCCCUCAACCACAUCACUUGCCAUUGCCUCUGAAAGCUCACCCUGACUGUUAUCUUGUUUUCUCUCCUCUUUUGAUGAAAUAUGAACAAGCUCAUCUUUUGGUGAACUGCGACCAAACUCAUCUGUUGGUGAUGUUUCUAAACUAUCCCCUGAUCUCUCAAAUUGACAUGCAUCUGAUUCUUGAUCGUCUCUGGUGAUGACUCUACCCAACACAACUUCUUCAAAUGUCUCCUCUAUAAUGCCUUGAUUUGCAAAAUCAUCAGAGACAGCUGGUAUUUUCUCUAAGUACAGGUCAAGAUUGCCAGUAAGAUGUGAGACCAUCCCAGACAAGUCUUUCACUGGGGCUGAUGAUGUGGGGGAUGUCUCACUAGCUAUUUUAAACUCUUCAUAUAAAGGCUCCUGUAUCUGAUCUGAGGUAUGCAUCCAUCUCUCAUUCUGUGAUGUGCCUUCAACCACAUCACUUCUCAUUGCCUCUGACACCUCAGACUGACUAUCAUCUCCUCUGACAACCCUGCUUAACACAACUUGUUCAAAGGUCUCCUGGACAAUGUCUUUAUCAGGAGAAUGAUCAGGUGCGGAUGGUGAUUUCUCUAGGUACUGAUCAAGGUCCCCAGUCAGAUGUGAGACCAUUCCAGACAUGUCUUUCACUGUUGUCUUUGACUCAGCGGGAGUGUUUCUGUCUACUCUGACCUCUUGCAGAAUUGACUUCUGCAAUUGUGGUGAACAAGGACUUAAAUCUUCCUUCUCUGAUUUCUCUGGUCUAAUAACAGGUAUGUUUUUUUCAACCUCCUCUGGAACACAAGGUUUUUCAGGUGUGCUGACACCUCUUCUUAAAAUAACCUCUUCAAAUCUUUCUUGGACAACCUCCUGAUCUAAUGAAUGAGUUGUUGUUUGUAUUUUUUCUAGAUACUGGUCCAGGUCUUGAGUAAGAUGAGAGGCCAUUCUAAAUUCUUCCACUUGUAAUUUUAGUGGACUAGAAAUAAGCGUGUCAUUUUGAAAGUCUUCUGAAAUUUCAGAUUGUAUUUCAUCUUGGCAAAUCACUUUCCUUACAAUAGAUUCUUCAAAAGUUUCCUGAACAAUCUCUUGAUCUGAAGAUUCACUAGUAACUGCUGGAAUUUCCUCCAGGUACUGCCCUAGGUCUUGCGUGAGAUGUGAAAUCAUGCUGGACAUGUUCACUGCUGUUCUUGAGUCAGGGUAAGUGUUACUGUCCACUUCAGCAUCCUGCAAAUUGAUCUUGUAAUCUGAACUUCGCGAUGUAUCUGAACUGAUGCAAGGUUUAUCAAUCUGCAGUUUUUCUGGGAUGUCAGUUUGAUUUAUGGCUGUUUUCUCAGAAAUGCUCAGAUCAUGCCCAGGAGCAACUGUGUCAAGGCUAUCCUCAAUUUUGUCAGACUGAACAAAAUCUGAACGGAUGUCUUGCUGCCCAGAAAUACAUUUUGAGGUUAUUUGGCUUGAUUGACCAUCGUCUUCAUGAUUUGCUUGAAAGAUCACUGUGGUUGUUUUCAUGGCUUUGUGCUCAAAAAGGCCAGAUUUGCUUUUGGAUGGGUCUUGGCCCUCCUGAAAUGCUUUCAUUAAUUCCCUCACAGACAUAGUUUCCUCCAGCCUCUCAGUCUGAGAUCGGGGAGAUUUGGGGGACUUUGGAGGAGGUUCUUCACUCUCUUUCAGAUAAGACUUACUUUGAAUACCAGUCACUUGUGGAGGCUUCCGCUUACGGCUUAAUCCCUCCUCUUCUUCAACUUUAUUUUGAAGUGCUUUUACCCUGUCUUUAAUGGAGCCUAUAGGUCUCUCCUCCACCAGAGGUGAGGCUGGGAAUAGGCCUGUGGUGGAUUCAGGUUCACCAAGAAUGAUGUCUCCAUCCAGAGAUUCCUCAGAGCUGAACCUCUGCAGUUCAUCUUCUGAGCUUUCACCAGCACAUUCCCUGUCCCUAAUCUUUCGCCUAGCAGGCUUUUUGACUUUAGGAAGAUGCCGCCUACCAUCUCUGGUCGCCACAAUCUCAUUGGAUUUAUCCUGUGUAACUUCAUGUUUUGAAAGAUGAUCGGACACCACAAGUGUGCUAUUGAAAUGCUGGUCAAGGUCUGCACUAAGAUGAGUAGUUGCACUAGGCAUGUCCUUCACUGAUGUUGAAGAUGUGGAGGUGUCUCUGAAAAUUCGGAUUUCCUGAGAGUCAGUGUUAGCUUUAGCCUGUGUGAUUUCGGGUUCACUGAGAACUACCCAUUCCCCCUUCUUGUUUUUUGACCAUUGGGUGUCUCUCUCCUCUCCAGUUUCUGACAAUGCUCCUCCUCGCAGUAUUUCAUCAACUUUUUCCAGAUCCUCCUUUACUUUCCCCAUGAUUUCAAAAGGUUCUUCAGGAUCUUCAUGCACUUUUCUAAUGGUCUGUGAUUGCUUUGUGUCAUCUAAAGAGUCAGGUUCUUCAGAUAGGUCAGUUGUAAGGAUAGCCGACACUUUGAUGAGGUCUUGUUUCAUGUCAGACACCUCUGAGAGAAGGUCUGGACUUGCUAAUGUGGCUGGGUCAUUCACCAUGUGUGUUUGCAGGAUGGAUAAUUCAGUUGACUCUGUUUCGUCAUCAUCUUUUUGAUGACAUAAAAAUAAAUUUAAAAAAGGAAAAUGAAGGGGGGAUAAGAAGAAUCUCUGGUCAAGGCAGGAGAAUAAGUAUUUAUCUUCAGUUGACAGGACAAGGAGGCUGGUUCACAUGAAAAUGACAGACAUUACAUUUGACUGAUGGAUCCAGGAGACUUUGAGGUUGGCACAGCAACAGCAAAGCAAAGCAAAAAGAAGAUAAACCGUAUGAAAAUAGAUGGCGAGGAAAUAACUUGCUUAAACAUGUUACAUGUUGAACUGCAUAUUCCUCAUAUAUGAAGAAGGGAGCGAGGAAACAAAAGUACAAAAGAGAAUGUAAAUAAAGUACAAACAGAGGGGUUAAACAAACAAAUAAUUAAAACAAGCAAACAAACAAUAGAAUACAAACCAAAUGGACGACAGAAAGUGGAGAUAAACCAUCUCAAGAUUGUCAAGUGACAAAUCAGAACAGCAAUUUCAUUUUUUUAGUAAAAAAUCAUAUCAGUUUGACAUUUUUAGAAAUUAUAUUUUUUUUCUGUUUGAAUCCUCAGAGGCUAUGGCAAAGAAAGUCUGAGAUAUAAAUUGUUGUGAACUCUCAUUCACUUGAGGACAAAUGUAAAUGAAAGAAAACAUUCACUGAAAUGAUAACAAUAAUGGUGAACUGAAUGAAAGAGUGAGAUAAAUACAAAGAAAACUCAAAGUUUGGGAAAAUGCUUUCUUACAGCCAGAGGCAAGACCACAGGCACACAUACUGUAGUCAGUAGAUUACAGUUACAAACAUAUAAAAUGUGAAAGUCAAGUUAUUUCCAUGCAAAACCAAAAGCUUGUGUUCAUGCAAUCCUAAACAAACCAAAAGCAAAGAACAGCAAGCAAAAUGAAAAAGCAAAACCUAAUUUUAUCUGAAAAUGAUAAAAUUGUCUACCAUUAUUUUUUAAAGUUGAUAUCCCCACAUAAUGGUACAGACUCAAAUAUUACUGUAAACCAAAUUCAGGAUGGAUAGUCAAACCGUGCUAAUACAACCCUAAUGCUAUGAAUAAUGUAGUGGUAUGAGGAAUGAUAUGGUUUAAAAAUACAACAAAAGAGAAUAGAAAAGAUGAAAUAGAUGGAGACGGCAAAGUGAUUAUCAGCCAUAGGUAGCAUAUCAGCUUGGGAUCCAUGUCCAUGCUUUACUCUAAAGGCUCUGACUUAACUACUGAAUCCAUAAAUCGGUUAAAAGGUACUGUUAUGCAGAACAACAUUUCUAAGCCUAUAUAUCUACUGUAUGAUUAAUACAGCCUUUACUAUCAAUAUGCUUUAACAAGGUAAAACUAUGCUAAUUGCUCAGGUGGUAAAGUUAGUAAAGUUAUUCCAAGAUAAAAGUGUCUUACAUUUCUCAUGUGUCUUGUCACUCUGUAGGGAAGGGACAAUUUAAAAAAUUGUUAUGAUGAUCAAACACAGUGUUACAUACACCGUACAUAUACUAUAUUAUUAACUAACAAAUUAAGAAUAUUUACUGUUGUCUCUCUUUUAUAGGCACAUAAUAAUGCAUUUAAUGAUAACUGUUAAUGAUAAUGCUGAUAAAUAGAGUAAAUAAAUUAGAUUUUUUAUUUCAUAAUAUUUGUAAAGAAAUAAAUGUACCUCCUCAUCUGCAUCCUGAUCAGAAUCAGAGUCCUAAUUAGAAGACAAGAUCAGUUAAUUUAGUGCAGGACAUGAACCAAUCUAUGUACUUAUAUAUAUAUAUACAAUUCUAAAACCAAUGAAUUCUUACCUUUGAGUAUGUGGGCAGAGUGAUGUUCAGAUUACAGAUGGCAUUGUGUGUAAGACUUCUGUACGUACGAGGCUCCUUUGUGAAAGACAAUCUUCCACAAGGUUCUUGAGCGCUAUCUCGAAUCUGUUGAUAAAUCAAGUUUAUAUGUUGUGAACAGUCAGGAAUGCAGAGGUAGUGGCAUUCUAAUAGAAACAGUCAUAUAACUUUGGAAAAAAGAAUGCUUGAAAGUCCAUCUCACCUUGAUGAACAGUGCCAAGCGGUUCUCUUUGAAGGCAAAGAAGCUGAAGACAUGAUGUUGACCACUCUUGGUAAGAGGCACCAGGUUUCCAAAACAGUCAGCAAAGAUUGGUUUCCCCUCUAAAACCUGAGAAACAUACGACUGGAAUUUACUUCACACCCACACACUCUAUACUGUGAACUUUAGUGUAGACUGGGAGAGAGGCUCAGGGCAGCAAGGGUGCCCAUCAGCAUUACCCCCGUCACACUGUCCUCCCCUCAGCUCUUUCUCUUAUGGCCUAUUCCCUUUACUUGUGCAAACCAGUUGGUGAACUAUGGUGCUUUCAUGACCCACAGUGCUAUGUUCAUGGGUUCAGUGUAAACAUUUUAGAUGUGUACCUCAACAUCUCGACUCCGUGCCACCUCUGUGAAGUUCUCCUGCUGCUCCAGUGUCUUGUCCAUUUUGUCGUCUGUCAUGCAGAAGCAUCGUAACCGGGCUUCUAUGGGGUCCAGUGUUUUGGCAAAGAUAACAAACUUGGCCAUGUAUGGAACACAGAUCAUUUCCCGGUAUAUCUGGGUAGAGAAGUUCACAGACUCCUGGAUCUGUCGGCAGUCAAUCAACCAGAAUCUGUGAGGCGGG